Chrysemys picta bellii (western painted turtle) is the source of this 3855-nucleotide non-coding RNA. Lineage: Eukaryota; Metazoa; Chordata; Testudines; Emydidae. The record is from RefSeq and is a predicted model, not a curated record.
GCCUUUUCGUUCCAGGCUUGGCGGCGCUAGCGGCAGCCCGGGCCGGCUGGGACUGGCGGAGAUCGGCCCGGGCAGAGCGAUCUCAGGACCCGCCGUAUUUCAGUGGCGGGUCCGGGGUCGCACCCAUUAGGCGGCCUGGGAGGGUCCCGGGGGCCGCGCCCCACCGCAGGAGCCAGCGGGGAUGUUGGCCGGAACAAGCGAGGGCAGGAGCAUGCGUGCUGGACUGUAGCGAGGUGGAAAGGAAGGGCUUCAAUUACCUUUGCUGAACUGAAGCUCUCAGGUACCAGUGACCUGGAGGUGGCAAUGCCUGGCGCUUUCUGACAGAAUCUUCUUAGUUCCAUGCUCAGAGAAGGCAAGGUUGAAAGGCAUGAUGGUGGAGGAGGAGGAGGAAAAUGGAUAGUAGAAAGAAAUCAGUGCAGUAAUAGACCAAGUGUGUGAAAAGGUGGGAGAGGAAAAAAAGGCAGAUAUACAGAAUAUGGACAGAUGGUGAGACGCAUUGUCACAAUGUACAAGGAGAACAAAAAUUAUAAAAAAAACCCAGCUAUUUUUAUAAGUUAAUAUGAGCAAAAGAAAAUCAGUACCAAGUUACAAACAAAAAUGGAUAUUAGAGCAAGAAGAAGAAAGGGAGGAAGAAAAUUACAUGAUGUGUUUAUGUUUUAGAAAGUUAUUUAUUCAAUGUGCUGAACCUGUGAUUUAGCAAUGGCCUGGCUCUUUCUAGUAAAAAUAAAAUACUUAGUCUCCUACCCUUUGACCAUGCUCCAGGUUUGACCCUGUGCCCUUUGAACACUGUCACCCUCUUUUUAUAAGGAUUGCUAGGUACAGUAUAAUUUGGAAUUUCCUUUAUACUUAGAAUAAGAUGAAGGUGGUACAUAACAUUUAAAAUUCAAGGGCCCCACACCACAAUAUUUGCUGAAUAUUGUUCUAAGUAUUCAUUUCCUAUAAUUAGCAACUGAGCUUCCUAAAAUGCAGAACAAGAAAAUCUCUUGCAUGCCACGUUAAUGUAUAAUAAAUACAAAUGUCCUUCAGACAGCAUCUUUUGCUCUAUAGGUAUGCAGCUUCAGCUAGCUGCUAAUGGUUUUCUAUUUUACAUGUGACCACCAUCUCAGGCUGUGGGUAGAUAAUCAAGUGGGUUUUGGCUUCCAAAUCAAUUAGAAAGGCAAUAUUGCAAAACUACUGUGGAUCAUGAAACUGAGAACUGGCUUGGCUAGCAAAACGAGGAUGUGAUCCCGUUAAGUACUUCAAUUCACACCCUAAGUUUAAAAAAUUGAUCCCACAUUUCUGACUUAAAAUUGACUAACUUUAAAAUGACACCUAUAUUAACUAAAUACAGAAACAUGACUUUUUUGCUUCAUUUGUGCAUGUGGUGCUUUGUGUACAAUUAGACUAACACUAGUCAGUUUCCUGUUGAUUAGGUUCCUUACAAAGCCACAAGAGAAAAAUUGAAAAAAGUGAUUGUAAAAGGACAAAAAAUAGCUAGUGUGUGUGUGUCUCUCUCUCAGCCAAAAGUAGAAGCCAAAACUGCUUAAAAAUCUAGUCAAUAUGAAAAAUCGAGUUAAAGUUGACAGUGUCCCUUUUAAAAGGCACAAAUACAACAAAAGACAACUCACUUUGAUUGUUACUAACACACACACAAAAAUUACUUAUUGAAAUUGUCAGUUAUCAAGAAACAUACAUGAGUAGAAAUGUAUGAUUUAUAAAAAGUAGCAGCAACAAUGCCAUUCUAAAAGGUUGAGUCUCUGCAUGAUCAUUUAUUUUAAAGAUUAUGCAUCUGUGGUAAAUACAUCAUGUUUUUACAUAAUUUAAUUUUUUAGCUUAUGAUAAUUAUAAACUUCAAUGAAAAGACUUAUUUGUUCCCAAACAUUGCUUUUCCAGUAUAAGCACAUAGGUUUGCCAAGUAAACUGAAGGGGAAAAAGUGCAGUUCUGCUCAGAAAGAUGACUAAAGUGACAGUGAAGUUCAACAUCUGAAUGACUUCCAUAUCAAAUCUGCUCAGUUUACAAGUGAAAGGAUGGCUUUCCCAAAUUGCCAAUGCACUAAACUAAGCUGGGAAUCUGAAAAGUUAAAUUACAUUUUCCUGGUUUGCAAUUAACUAAAGUUCUGCAAAUGAAAUUUAGACCCGAAUGGUGGAAAUACUUAAUUAUGCACAGAUGAGUAAUCUCAGUUAAUUCAAUGAGGAUGUAAAAUUAUUCACAUGACUAAGCAUUUACAAGAUCGGGUUUUAAUUGUGUUAAUGGAUGAGCCACUGAUAGCUAUGUGGGCUUUGUGAUUCUAACAGGAAUAAGUAUUACCAAUAUAUUGGUCACUAAGCAGAUACAAUAAUGCACACAGAUCUACAGAGUAAGAUGGUGCCAUUUUAAGUCAGCCACUUCUCUGUUCUGUCACUGUACUGUAAACUCAGUGUCAAUCCAUGAACAAAAUGUUAGUGAAACUUUAAUUAUUCUUCCUCAUAUUAAACAGCUGUAGCAAUUCUUUGAAAUGCUGCCACAGGUUUUUCCAUAGCGCAAAAAAAAAAAAAAUUAUCACUGUAUUGCACAAUUUGUAAGUGCAGGUUAUGUGCAUAAAAACCAUCUUAAUGUCCACAUGGCAAUUUGCUAAACAUACAUUUAAAACUAUAAUACAAUUUACAAAAUCUUUUAAAACAAUUCUACUCUUAAAAGUAUCCUGAGAAUAUUACAAUGUUUAUUUUACAAGCCCUUCAUUUCUAUGCUUUGUUUAUCCCCUCAGUUGAACAAGUUUAUUUUACAUGAAAUAUUGUUGCUGUAUUUUACUAUUUAUCUUUUAACAAAACAGUAUACCAUUUUCAUUUGAGUAACUAAUCAGCCUCGUAUCUAGCCUAAUUAUAAAUCAAGCUUUCUACAUUUUUGAAAUAGGCCAGGAAAAGUAACGUAAAAUAAUUUCAGAAACAGUUUUAGCUUGUUAAAAAAGAUUCAAAGGCUUUGUGCAUUUUUAAUAUUUUGGUCAGGUAUUUAGGUUAUGCUGUUUACAUUUUGGCAAAAAAGAAAAAGCUCCAAACACCUUCAAUACAUUUUUCUUUGAUUUUUUUAUAUAAUUUGCAACUCUACAAUAUAUUUUAUACAACUAAGGUCAUAAAGUACUUCACUCUUGUAUUUUUAUUUGCUUGUUUUCUUUUUAAAGGUGCUUAGAAAGAUAGACACAAGUAUUGGAAACAAAUUCAGCAUCUUUUGGCUAAAUACAAAAAGUCUCGCUGGAAAAAAUGUAAAAUAUUUGAGUUGCUUCCUCUCUUUACAGUUACUUAAAUAAAUACCCUUUAUCUAAAGAUAAAUUCUAAUUCCUUAUCCUAUACAACACCUGUCUGUAGUUUUGUCUUGUCAAGAUUAAAGCUUCACACAUUAUCUUUACACAGUUUUAUUAGGAAGAUAUCCAUGUAUUUGCAUAUUUUGAAAAGAGGGAGUUCAGGAUUAAAAAUAUAGGCUUUUUUAAAGGUAAGUGCCAUUCUGCUUACAAUGUUUCAAGCUAUAGCAUAGAAAACCCAAGUUAUGGAAUAUCCUUCAGUUUCUUAUACCCUAGGUGAGAGAAAAAGGGCUCAGGUGAGUUGCAGAGGUAACCAGCUUGGAUUCCACAAAUGGGAGGGUGGUGGUUCAUCAUAUCAGUGUCCCAUGGGCCAGUUCCCUCUGUGGUGUAAGCACCUGCUUCAGAGGCAGAGAUUUGCUUAUUUUCUAGACAGAGGGGCAAACUCUUAUUCAUGGCUGCCAAAGAGUAAAAGUUUGUAGGGUGACAAUUGUGGUUGUCAGAGUAAAGGGUUAUCGUGAUAUAAGGUUUCCAUCUGGACCUGGCUUAGGAGAAGGCCAGGUGUUCAGUGUGAGAAAAGUCCAUGCUCUGAACAGAGGAGAGGUUA